Molecule: transfer RNA, 84 nt
Filed under: Canis lupus familiaris (dog)
Lineage: Eukaryota; Metazoa; Chordata; Mammalia; Carnivora; Canidae
Also listed under: 2 other names
Rfam family: tRNA
About the family: Transfer RNA (tRNA) molecules are approximately 80 nucleotides in length. Their secondary structure includes four short double-helical elements and three loops (D, anti-codon, and T loops).
Source: Rfam by way of RNAcentral
GCCUGGGUGGCUCAGUUGGUUAAGCAUCUGACUUCAGCUCAGGUCAUGAUCUCAGGGUCCUGGGACCAAGCCCCAGGUCAGGCC